GCUGAGGUGGCGAAACUGGCAGACGCUACGGCCUUAGAAGCCGUUGGGAGUAAUCCCGUGGGAGUUCAACUCUCCCCCUCAGCA
RNAcentral lists this transfer RNA (84 nucleotides) under Candidatus Liptonbacteria bacterium. RNAcentral describes it as "tRNA-Leu". It matches the Rfam family "tRNA". Rfam says of the family: Transfer RNA (tRNA) molecules are approximately 80 nucleotides in length. Their secondary structure includes four short double-helical elements and three loops (D, anti-codon, and T loops). The record is from RNAcentral. Lineage: Bacteria; Candidatus Liptoniibacteriota.